Molecule: ribosomal RNA, 253 nt
Filed under: uncultured bacterium
Lineage: Bacteria
Description: partial 16S ribosomal RNA
Rfam family: Bacterial small subunit ribosomal RNA
Source: RNAcentral
UACGUAGGGUGCAAGCGUUAAUCGGAAUUACUGGGCGUAAAGCGUGCGCAGGCGGUUCGUUGUGUCGGUGGUGAAAUCCCCGGGCUUAACCUGGGAAUGGCCAUGGAAGCUGGCGAACUGGAGUGUGGCAGAGGGGGGUGGAAUUCCACGUGUAGCAGUGAAAUGCGUAGAGAUGUGGAGGAACACCGAUGGCGAAGGCAGCCUCCUGGGCCAGCACUGACGCUCAUGCACGAAAGCGUGGGGAGCAAACAGG